Molecule: ribosomal RNA, 807 nt
Filed under: uncultured archaeon
Lineage: Archaea
Description: bacterial SSU rRNA
Rfam family: Archaeal small subunit ribosomal RNA
Source: RNAcentral
CCUGGGGUAGGGGUGAAAUCCUGUAAUCNUGGGGGGACCACCAGUGGCGAAGGCGUCUAGCUAGAACGGGUCUGACGGUGAGGGACGAAACCUUGGGGCGCAANCCGGAUUAGAUACCCGGGUAGUCCAGGGCGCAAACGCUGCUUGCUUGAUGUUAGCUGGGCUCCGAGCUCAGCUAGUGUCGGAGAGAAGUUGUUAAGCAAGCUGCCUGGGAAGUACGAUCGCAAGAUUGAAACUUAAAGGAAUUGGCGGGGGAGCACAGCAACGGGUGGAGCGUGCGGUUUAAUUGGAUUCAACGCCGGAAAACUCACCGGAGGCGACGGUUACAUGAAGGCCAGGCUGAUGACCUUGCCUGAUUUUCCGAGAGGUGGUGCAUGGCCGCCGUCAGUUCGUACCGUAAGGCGUUCUGUUAAGUCAGAUAACGAACGAGACCCUCAUCCUUAAUUGCUACUGAUGACUCCGGUUGUCAGGCACAUUAAGGAGACCGCUGGCGAUAAGUCAGAGGAAGGCGAGGGCAACGGUAGGUCAGUAUGCCCUGAAUCCUCCGGGCUACACGCGCGCUACAAGGGCCAGGACAAUGGGUUUCGACACCGAAAGGUGAAGGUAAUCUCGAAACCUGGUCAUAGUUCGGAUCGAGGAUUGAAACUCAUCCUCGUGAAGCUGGAAUCCGUAGUAAUCGCGGAUCAACAUCCCGCGGUGAAUAUGCCCCUGCUCCUUGCACACACCGCCCGUCAAACCAUGCGAGUUGGGUUUAAGUGAGGAUGUAGUAUUUUGCUGCGUUCAAACUUGGGCUUAGCAAGCGGGGUU